Molecule: ribosomal RNA, 253 nt
Filed under: uncultured bacterium
Lineage: Bacteria
Description: partial 16S ribosomal RNA
Rfam family: Bacterial small subunit ribosomal RNA
Source: RNAcentral
UACGUAGGGGCCGAGCGUUGUCCGGAAUUAUUGGGCGUAAAGCGCGUGUAGGCGGCUUGGUAGGUCUCGCGUUAAAGCCCGCAGCUCAACUGCGGAAUCGCGUGGGAAACCACCUCGCUAGAGUCCGGAAGAGGAGUGUGGAAUUCCUGGUGUAGCGGUGAAAUGCGCAGAUAUCAGGAAGAACACCAGUGGCGAAGGCGGCACUCUGGGACGGUACUGACGCUGAGACGCGAAAGCGUGGGGAGCGAACAGG